Small nucleolar RNA from Paramormyrops kingsleyae, 95 nucleotides. RefSeq annotates it as Z30 small nucleolar RNA. The record is from RefSeq and is a predicted model, not a curated record. NCBI's taxonomy places the organism in Eukaryota, Metazoa, Chordata, Actinopteri, Osteoglossiformes, Mormyridae.
AGCUGUGAUGAGACGAAGAAUUGCCUGACUUGGUAUUGUCACAUUGUGGACAAUGAUCAAAGUAUGACCUCGUUUUUAAUCUUCUCUCUGAGCUG